Molecule: ribosomal RNA, 528 nt
Filed under: Diontolobus lanuginosus
Lineage: Eukaryota; Metazoa; Arthropoda; Insecta; Coleoptera; Thymalidae
Description: partial 16S ribosomal RNA
Rfam family: Bacterial large subunit ribosomal RNA
Source: RNAcentral
UUAACAAAAACAUGUCUUUUUGAUUAUAAUUUAAAGUCUAAUCUGCCCACUGAAAAUUUUAAAUGGCCGCGGUAUUUUGACCGUGCAAAGGUAGCAUAAUAAUUAGUUUUUUAAUUGAAAGCUGGUAUGAAUGAUUGAAUGAGAAAAUAGCUGUCUCAAAAUUAAUGUUUUAGAAUUUUAUUUUUAAGUUAAAAAGCUUAAAUAUAUUUAAAAGACGAGAAGACCCUAUAGAGUUUAAUAGUUAAUUAUUAAUAUUAUUUUUAUGUUAUUUUUUUUAAUUAAUUAUUUUGUUGGGGUGACAGAAAAAUUAAAAAAACUUUUUUUAUUAAAAUUCAUUUAUAAAUGUUAAAUUGAUCCAAAAUUUUUGAUUAUAAGAAUAAAUUACCUUAGGGAUAACAGCGUAAUUUUUUUUGAGAGUUCAAAUCGAAAAAAAAGAUUGCGACCUCGAUGUUGGAUUAAAAUUAAGGCUUGGUGUAGAAGCUAGGUUUUUAGGUCUGUUCGACCUUUAAAAUUUUACAUGAUCUGAGU